GGCGCCGACGACGAGCCCCGGGCCAGCACCAUCGUCAUGCUCAGGAUGCUGCCCCAGGCGGCCACCGAGAACGACAUCCGGGCGCAGCUCCAGGCUCAGGGGGUUCAGCCCCGUGAGGUGCGGCUGAUGCGCAACAAAUCCUCAGGUCAGAGCCGAGGAUUCGCCUUCGUGGAAUUCCAUCACGUGCAGGAGGCGGCCAGGUGGAUGGAGGCCA
Sturnus vulgaris (Common starling) is the source of this 214-nucleotide non-coding RNA. NCBI's taxonomy places the organism in Eukaryota, Metazoa, Chordata, Aves, Passeriformes, Sturnidae. The record is from RefSeq and is a predicted model, not a curated record.